CGCCAACAGUAGGGAUUGAACCUACGCCCUCAAAGAGGAAAGCAUGUUUGCAAAACUUUAAGAGUUUCAUAGCAAUGCUUCGCCUUAACCACUCGGCCAUAUUAGC
Molecule: transfer RNA, 106 nt
Filed under: Sylvanvirus sp.
Description: tRNA-Ser
Source: RNAcentral